CCCCCUUUAAGAACAUUCGUCCUCGAAUGUUCACACAAUAAACACACAUGCAAAUAAGCAAGUAAAGAAAACUUAACACCUUCCUCUGCAAAGAGACACAGAGACUACUGACGGAAACCCUCUCGGGUUCUCUAUCCUUCUUAACUCUGUUGGCCCGUAACUGCUUAAUCUGUGUUCACACUUUACACUGAUUAUUAACGUUUCUUUCUCUUUGACUCUUUUUAUACUCUUCUGCCCUUGCCUCUAGCUUUACCUGUCUCUCUAUUUUAACCGAACUUGUCUGAUAGAACUUGGCCUCGAUGCCGUAUUCUCAUAAAGUCUACACUACGUCAUAGAUAAGGGGCAUGCUUCUCUAUUUAUUUGCUUUUGCUGCGCAUUCUGAUCCUUGCCCGUCUUCUCUUCUUUUCUUUUUUUUUUUUUCCUGGCUUUCUCUCUUUAGAUUCCUUUCUACCUACACUGGACUAUUCUAGCACUCAGAUAUCAGACCUACCUUGGAAAACAACUGGUUUCUGCCAGCUGAUCCAACCGAUCGUCAGUCUGAAGUAAGGACUUGUAACUAAACUGGUAAACGACUUUUGAUUGAGUGCAGCUAACAUCUACUCUGCCUCACCCAGAGUCGUUGAGCAGUUUUACCCCGUACCUCUGU
RNAcentral lists this long non-coding RNA (646 nucleotides) under Manihot esculenta (cassava). RNAcentral's name for it is "long non-coding RNA (MESC_LNC012762)". The record is from RNAcentral. Lineage: Eukaryota; Viridiplantae; Streptophyta; Magnoliopsida; Malpighiales; Euphorbiaceae.